This 519-nucleotide ribosomal RNA is filed under the name Dipsas indica. Its description in RNAcentral is "partial 16S ribosomal RNA". It matches the Rfam family "Bacterial large subunit ribosomal RNA", at positions 1811 to 2605 of the family's 2925-position model. Lineage: Eukaryota; Metazoa; Chordata; Lepidosauria; Squamata; Dipsadidae. The record is from RNAcentral.
AAACAUAACCUUUAGCCAAACAAAUAUUAAAGGCAACGCCUGCCCAGUGAACAAUUAAACGGCCGCGGUACCCUAACCGUGCAAAGGUAGCGUAAUCACUUGUCUAUUAAUUGUAGACCAGUAUGAAAGGCAAAAUGAGGGUUUAUCUGUCUCUUACAAUUAAUCAAUUAAACUGAUCUUCUAGUAAAAAAGCUAGAAUAUACACAUAAGACCAGAAGACCCUGUGAAGCUUAAACUAAAGUAUUAAAUCCUAUAAUACCAACUUUCGGUUGGGGCGACCUUGGAAAAAAAAAGAACUUCCAAAUAUAUGACCACACUCACAUACAGGCCAACAAGCCUCCCAAUAGACCCAGUACACCUGACAAUUGAACCAAGUUACUCCAGGGAUAACAGCGCCAUCUUCUUCAAGAGUCCAUAUCAAAAAGAAGGUUUACGACCUCGAUGUUGGAUCAGGACAUCCUAAUGGUGUAGCCGCUAUUAAGGGUUCGUUUGUUCAACGAUUAAUAGUCCUACGUGAUC